This 89-nucleotide transfer RNA is filed under the name Candidatus Rhabdochlamydia sp. W815. RNAcentral's name for it is "tRNA-Ser". It matches the Rfam family "tRNA". Rfam says of the family: Transfer RNA (tRNA) molecules are approximately 80 nucleotides in length. Their secondary structure includes four short double-helical elements and three loops (D, anti-codon, and T loops). The record is from RNAcentral. Lineage: Bacteria; Pseudomonadati; Chlamydiota; Chlamydiia; Parachlamydiales; Candidatus Rhabdochlamydiaceae.
UGGAGGAGUGUCCGAGCGGCCGAUGGAGCACGCUUGGAAAGCGUGUAUACGUGUAAACGUAUCGUGGGUUCGAAUCCCACCUCCUCCGU